This 466-nucleotide ribosomal RNA is filed under the name uncultured bacterium. RNAcentral's name for it is "partial 16S ribosomal RNA". It matches the Rfam family "Bacterial small subunit ribosomal RNA", at positions 29 to 507 of the family's 1533-position model. The record is from RNAcentral.
ACGAACGCUGGCGGCGUGCUUAACACCUGCAAGUCGAACGGAAAGGCCUCUUUCGGGGGGUACUCGAGUGGCGAACGGGUGAGUAACACGUGAGUAACCUGCCCUUGACUUUGGGAUAACUUCAGGAAACUGGGGCUAAUACCGGAUAGGAGCUCCUGCUGCAUGGUGGGGGUUGGAAAGUUUCGGCGGUUGGGGAUGGACUCGCGGCUUAUCAGCUUGUUGGUGGGGUAGUGGCUUACCAAGGCUUUGACGGGUAGCCGGCCUGAGAGGGUGACCGGCCACAUUGGGACUGAGAUACGGCCCAGACUCCUACGGGAGGCAGCAGUGGGGAAUAUUGCACAAUGGGUGGAAGCCUGAUGUAGCAACGCCGUGUGCGGGAUGACGGCCUUCGGGUUGUAAACCGCUUUCGCUCAUGACGAAGCUUUGUGUGACGGUAGUGGGUAAAGAAGCACCGGCUAACUACGUG